RNAcentral lists this transfer RNA (66 nucleotides) under Paratriatoma lecticularia. RNAcentral's name for it is "tRNA-Leu". Lineage: Eukaryota; Metazoa; Arthropoda; Insecta; Hemiptera; Reduviidae. The record is from RNAcentral.
ACUAUUUUGGCAGAUAAGUGCGGUAAAUUUAGAAUUUACUUAUGUAGUGUUGUUCUACAGGUAGUA